GAAAGAAGUGAUUAAACAGAAGGAAGGUUGUGCUGAAAAUGUUAACGGUGCAGGGCUUUCACGGAUUAACCAUGAAGACUGUUAGCGUGUUUUAUUCUGAUUCAAGCCCAAAUCUUCAGACUCGGAUUGCUGCUGCCAAGUGUGGUUCAGCUGUGGUGUGCUCGUGGAGGAGCCAGUCUGUCAGGUGGAAACUGAUGUCCUCAAUGAGCUGGUUGAACUCCCCCCUCAAUAGCACAGCUUUAACCACUAUCAUUAAUGAAGCAUGUUACAAGCUUAAAAUUACCUGAGAUAGAAAAAAAAAGGCUAUUGUUCAUUGCUGGUUUUUCAGAGUACAGAUGAGCAGCCUAUGAAUUGGCUUUUUGAAUUCCUUACUUUGGUCUUCUGCGAGUUAGGGGCCAGGAAGACUUCAGGGUGGCCUAUAGGUCUGGUUCAGGGACUGAGUUCUGCCUUGAAAUUGCUUGAAUUGGAGGGAUCUGUGGCACUCCAACAGUACUGUUAGCCGUGAAGAGCAGGUGAAUGUGCAGAUCAGAAGCUGUCACCUUUGAAACCACAGAUCUGCACUGUAAAAGGGAACAAAAGGACUUCCCAUUUCCUGAGCCUGCAGUCACGUUUGUGAAGUUCAGAUGUUCUCCAGAUCAAGCCAUUAUGGAGAAAUGUGUUUUUUUCUGAUCAUAAUAAUUAGUGAUGAAAAGAUAACUGAAAUCCCUGGGAUUUUGGAGGACAGCUUCUGUCAGCACAGUCUUCUCUUUGUUCAACUGUACAGAGGCACCCAGAAGCAGCAGGGAACAGCAAGAAAAACAAGAGGAGACAAAGCAGGAAGGCUGCACACCAUGACCUGGGGACUCUCAUGGCAGCACGCAUGCUGGGAAGGUGAGCUCCACACCAAGCACUGAACUUGUCCUGUCCCAACCUGCAGUAAGUGCCCACUGCUUCUGCACACGUGAUGCUUGCCUUGGAGUUGUGGCUCUUUCAGAGAGCUGUUGUGAAGGAGGUACACAAAGAUGAUAAUCCUGGAAAAAGAAGGCUCUAAAGAUCCGCAGGUCACCGUGUGUGGCGUUGGUGUCUGCAGAAUGUCCGUACCUGAAGAAUCUGCCAAGCACUAUUUGAUGUUGUUCCUUGCUGGGGAUGUGUGUUUUGGCACCCUGUCCAUUAACACUCCCUGAAAUAGGGAGACAGAUCUGUGAGAUGGAAAUUUCUGACCUCUUGUAAAUGAGGCUUUUAUUCUCAGCAAGCUUGGUAUCCCUAAAUGUACAGUUAAUAUUCUUCUGUAUCAGGAAAAGCUGCUCAGAUACGUGGUCUCAACUGAUUCAGGCUUCAAGUUGGAAAGUUUUUCGUGCUGUUUAUAGAUGGAGAUGGUGGCUCUGCAUAUGCUGGUGUAUGUUGUUCCUAAAAGUAAUGACAUUUCCUUUAGACACCUAAGUUCUGAACCAAGAAUCUUGUUUCUGGAGGGCUGUGAAAUGCACGUAGCGCCGCACUGAAUCGAUGGGAUUAAUGAGUUCUCUCUACCUGUUUUGUUCGCUAAUGUCUGCUCUUCUGAAUUGGUUUGUUUUGCUUAACACACACGCUGUAUCAACCUAACUAUGUAGUUUUGGGCUAGAAGUCAGGUUUUCUGUGUUGCUAUCAGGUCUUCAACUUUUCAAAAUGAAAGGUCUUUAAUAUUAGUCUGGUUUUGAGCCAAUUUCUUAAUAAGAAUAACGUAUUAUAAAUUGCUGAAA
Molecule: long non-coding RNA, 1715 nt
Organism: Anser brachyrhynchus (Pink-footed goose)
Lineage: Eukaryota; Metazoa; Chordata; Aves; Anseriformes; Anatidae
Source: Ensembl